CGCCAAUGGACAGGAAGGGCCACAGACGAAGCUCCACCUCCCACGCCGUCGAUGAGCUGGCGGCGGUGAAGGCUGCAGCGUGGGCAUGGUACCAGCAUGGUUCGGGGCGCGAAGGGAGGUCCAUCACAGAAGCCGGUCAUGUCCGAGCCCCUUGCAAGCAGCGACAGUCCACGCUAUCGCCUAACAUGGUUUCGAUUCAGCCGCAGACUACUAACUCUUUGCUCGAUCUCUACGAGAUCGAGAGGAUUACGCGGGAGCUGGACCGGCUCAUCGUUGCUGGAAACGAG
This 287-nucleotide unclassified non-coding RNA is filed under the name Hevea brasiliensis (rubber tree). The record is from RNAcentral. Lineage: Eukaryota; Viridiplantae; Streptophyta; Magnoliopsida; Malpighiales; Euphorbiaceae.